This 400-nucleotide ribosomal RNA is filed under the name uncultured bacterium. Its description in RNAcentral is "bacterial SSU rRNA". It matches the Rfam family "Bacterial small subunit ribosomal RNA", at positions 355 to 746 of the family's 1533-position model. The record is from RNAcentral.
UGGGGAAUAUUGCGCAAUGGGCGAAAGCCUGACGCAGCAACGCCGUGUGAGGGAUGAAGGCUUUCGGGUCGUAAACCUCUGUCAGAAGGGAAGAACGGGCAUUGGUCUAAUAGGCCUUUGUUUUGACGGUACCUUCAGAGGAAGCACCGGCUAACUCCGUGCCAGCAGCCGCGGUAAUACGGAGGGUGCAAGCGUUAUUCGGAAUUACUGGGCGUAAAGCGCACGUAGGCCGCUUUGUAAGUCAGGGGUGAAAUCCCACGGCUCAACCGUGGAACUGCCCUUGAAACUGCGAAGCUUGAAUCCUGGAGAGGGUGGCGGAAUUCCUGGUGUAGGAGUGAAAUCCGUAGAUAUCAGGAGGAACACCGGUGGCGAAGGCGGCCACCUGGACAGGUAUUGACGC